UGCCAGCCGCCGCGGUAAGACGUAGGGGCCGAGCGUUGUCCGGAGUUACUGGGCGUAAAGCGCGCGCAGGCGGAUGGUCGCAUCGUCGGUGAAAGCCCCCCGCUCAACGGGGGAGGGUCCGGCGAGAUGGGCCAUCUGGAGGCAGGGAGAGGCGAGUGGAAUUCCGGGUGUAGUGGUGAAAUGCGUAGAGAUCCGGAGGAACACCAGUGGCGAAGGCGGCUCGCUGGACCUGACCUGACGCUGAGGCGCGAAGGCGUGGGGAGCAAACAGGAUUAGAUA
RNAcentral lists this ribosomal RNA (279 nucleotides) under uncultured bacterium. RNAcentral's name for it is "partial 16S ribosomal RNA". It matches the Rfam family "Bacterial small subunit ribosomal RNA", at positions 506 to 784 of the family's 1533-position model. The record is from RNAcentral.